This 264-nucleotide unclassified non-coding RNA is filed under the name Hevea brasiliensis (rubber tree). Lineage: Eukaryota; Viridiplantae; Streptophyta; Magnoliopsida; Malpighiales; Euphorbiaceae. The record is from RNAcentral.
GCCGCAUCAUCGACGCUUUCUGCGAAAACCGGAACCUAUCGGACCCCUCUACCAUCUCCGCUGCUUUCUCUGACGGUAAGGCUCAGCUCGAAGUCGCUAAAAGACAAGCCACCGUCUACUCUCUCUACGCCCCCAAAAUCAAGAGCGUCAUGGAAACCAAUUCCUUUUCUUCUGUUUCUAAUUAGAUAAAAUAUGGAAAGAAAAAGAACCCUCUCGUCCACAAUGAUGAUGGGUAUUUUUUUUUUUUUUUGAACUUAAUUUUAC